RNAcentral lists this ribosomal RNA (477 nucleotides) under Candidatus Scalindua wagneri. RNAcentral describes it as "bacterial SSU rRNA". It matches the Rfam family "Bacterial small subunit ribosomal RNA", at positions 365 to 832 of the family's 1533-position model. The record is from RNAcentral. Lineage: Bacteria; Pseudomonadati; Planctomycetota; Candidatus Brocadiia; Candidatus Brocadiales; Candidatus Scalinduaceae.
UUCGCAAUGCCCGAAAGGGUGACGAUGCGACGCCGCGUGAGCGAAGAAGGCCCUAGGGUUGUAAAGCUCUGUCGAGGGUUAUGAAAUAUAGAUGGGUUAAUACCCCAUUUAUUUGACAAAAGCCCAAAAGGAAGCCACGGCUAACUCUGUGCCAGCAGCCGCGGUAAUACAGAGGUGGCGAGCGUUGUUCGGUAUUAUUGGGCGUAAAGAGCACGUAGGUGGUUUUGUAAGUCAGGUGUGAAAGCCUUCUGUUCAAAGGAAGAACGGCAUCUGAAACUGCAGAUCUUGAGUGUAGGAGGGGAGAGUGGAACUUCUGGUGGAGCGGUGAAAUGCGUAGAUAUCAGAAGGAACGUCGGCGGCGAAAGCGACUCUCUGGCCUAUUACUGACACUGAGUGUGCGAAAGUUAGGGGAGCAAACGGGAUUAGAUACCCCGGUAGUCCUAACCGUAGACGAUGGGCACUAAGUAGAGGGGUUUU